UUUCCUUCAAUAAUUUAAAAAUGGGAUUUAAGAAAUAAUAAUUUUAAAUUGAAAAUAGUUGUUCAUUUUCUAUUUGUAUUUUUAAAAGAAUAGAACAAUUGGGCAAAGGGAGUUGAAAUCCGUUGAGCAUAAAGUGGAAGGGCCUUGAAACUUGAAAGUCCACUCAAAGACUCCUCAACAUCAGAUUCACGCCACGCCACUGUCUUCUGAGAGAGAAAGGAAAAGAAAGAUUCAGCCAAACACUCACUGUUCGUCUCCGCUAUUUUCCACCUAUCUUGCGAUGUCUUUGUAUAUUGGCCAUCUCUCAUCUCGCACUCGUAGGAAUGAACUUGAGCAUGUUUUCCAAAGGUUUGGAAGAUGCAAUAUACGGCUGAAAGAUGGCUAUGGAUUUGUUGUGUAUGACUACCCUCCAAAUGCAGAGAAAGCUUUGAGAGUGCUUCAUGGAAGAAACAUCUGUGGGGAGCCAUUAACUCUCGCAUGGUCAAACAAACAGCCUAGACCUUUCAAAAAGAUUUCUAGGGCUGAUCGAUCCUAUGAUCAUGAGCCACUUAGAGUUAGGAGUUCUUCUAGAGGUGGAGAUUAUGGUAACAGAAAAUUGGAUUUAAAUGUUCAGCGAGAUUACAAGAUGAGUAUUGACCAACCGGAGAGUCAUGAUGUCAGGCUUAAUUCUGCUGACUUGCGUAAUGCAGAGAUAGACUACCAUCAAGACCAUGUUAACGAAUACACAAGGGAAGAAAAUCAUGACUGUGGGGAAGAUUUGCUGAAUGAAAGUGGUCGAGUUGUAACCAACCUGGUGGAUAGUGAUAGGUGGGAUGGACAAAGUCAUGAUCUGUCUAAGGGUAAUGAUGUUGAACACGAAAUGGAAUUUGACCGGUACAUAGGUUAUGACAGGAAAGAUGAUGAUGAAAACCAUCAAAUUGUGUACAGUGGUUCUGCUGCACAAUGCCCUCAAGAGAAAAUAGCAAGAGAGCUGAUAGGUGAAGGAACUUUGAACCAUCCUAAGGAUUCAAAAGUGCAUCAAGCUUGUUACAGCUGCGGUGCCUUGGGUCACAGAAAGCGUAAUUGUCCCUAUGAAAAAACUUCAAGAAGAUAUUUCUCUGGGUUUGACCACAGACAUGAUGGUGACAUCGGUAGAGGAGGUAGAGGGCAAGGUGGCAUGGAAACUUUUGGAUCCAAUAGUCGGGAAAAGCAGCAGCAAGAUAAGGAUCCCCUAAGAACAAAGCGAUCUGAGGAUACCAGGAAAGCAUCUGGUUCAGGAAAGCAUGGGAGAUUGAUAAAGAGUGGAAGCUCCCCUAUUGCAAAGGAAUCUGACAGGGCUUGGGAAAAGGACUAUGGAGGAAAGAAGCGGAGUAGGAGGAGAGAUAGAACUCCUAAAAGACAUAGUGCAAAGAAAGCAAGGCUGAUUUCUUCUUCACUUCAUCCUGAUUACAAUGCAUCUAGGUCACACUCAAAAUCUAAAUCCAUAAAGCAUAUGCCAAGGCCAAUUUCAUGGUCCAGAUCAAGAUCCAUAUCAUCCAGGGCUCACUCAUUAUCUACUAAUUUAAGAACCAGUUUAAUAUCUCAUUAUCCUAGAUCCAUAAGUUCUAAGUCUAGCUCAAUGUUAAGUUCUCCUACAUCAUUGUCUUUGUCUGUAUCCCUUAGUAGGCCCUUACCAUCACCUCUGAACAAGGUGCAGUUUAAUUUGAGGGGCACUCUGGAUAUGUCUAAUUCUCCUGAAUCCACGGAGAUUAUGGUUAGAGGAGAACCAGCAGAGGGUGAUGUUGAAUUGGAAAAUGCAAAUUUUGAAAAUAGAGUGGCUCUAGUGGAUAUGAAAAAUGCCAGGUCAUCUGCCUCUGUAGAAACUGAAGUGGAAAAGGACCAAGCUAUUCAGAGAGAUGAUAGUGAUAAUCAUAUGACAUCCAGGUCAGUGUCUCAAGCUAAAAAUCCAAGCACACCUGAUUCAGAGAAAGGUGCAUUUGCUGCUGGGUAUUUGUCUCCGGAGAGAUUGAGAGAGAUCAGGAGCAGUCAAGAUUUUGAUGCACUGACAACAAAGGAUGUGGUAUUACCACUUAUAAAAAUUGAUUCAGAGCUUACCUCCGGCUGUUCAACAAGCAUAUCUUUGGAGGAGUUGUGCAUGGUCAUGAAGCAUUAUGGCCUUGAACCUUCCGAUGAAAAUCAAAGGCAUCUAUCUGUUGAAGCUUACUUUGGUUCUGCAUGCAUGUGGCCUUGGGAGAUUAUCUAUUAUAGGAGGUUGAAGAAAGGUCCUAUUUCAACUGAGAACUAUGCCAGCCGAGUUGCGCAAAAUAAAGAAUUUGGUAUUGUUGACAAGUAUGUCAGAAGCAGUAGUGGAUGGGGAGAACUGAAUCGCCCUUGAAAAGCUUUGUAGACAAUGUGACAGCUUAUUUUAUGUCCUCUGAGAGCCUCAACAUUUUGGCCCUUUUUUAUAAUGGGUUUGGGAUUUUGCAAGAUAAAGAUCUGAGCAGACAUGUUAGGCUGAGGAUCAACCUCAAUGGAUUUGGAUUUGCAAUUGGCAGCAGCAGCGAGUCUUCCCUGGCCCUGAGGCACAAAAGAAAGACAGCUUCAUUGCCGUCUGAUUCCUGCAAGUUCAUAACUUUGGUGGAUGAUUGAGAGGCCCCAUUCUAUAUCAAAUUGCAACGUAGCUAGCUGAGUAGCCAAUCAUUACAUGGCGGGCCAAAGUCAAAGAAAAAUAGUACUCCUAUAGUCCUACUAGUAUUCCCCCAACGGCCCAAUACAUCUUCUAAAACUGCUCUCAAGUACAGGAAAAUCCAACCUUUUCGUCAUGGGAUUUACCCAUCUCUUCGGACCAGGUAAAAUUCAGUGAUCAUUCUUUUUCACUCAGUUGAACUGAGCAUUGUGUCACUGGCCCAUCAGCAGGAGCUGUGGCAUUUUCUGAUGUGAUAUAAAGCCACAAAAUAAUUGAGAAACCAAUAAAAAAAUCUAGAAUUGGA
RNA transcript from Durio zibethinus, 2948 nucleotides. RefSeq lists it as uncharacterized. Lineage: Eukaryota; Viridiplantae; Streptophyta; Magnoliopsida; Malvales; Malvaceae. The record is from RefSeq and is a predicted model, not a curated record.